This 401-nucleotide ribosomal RNA is filed under the name uncultured bacterium. RNAcentral's name for it is "bacterial SSU rRNA". It matches the Rfam family "Bacterial small subunit ribosomal RNA", at positions 356 to 775 of the family's 1533-position model. The record is from RNAcentral.
GAGGAAUAUUGCCCAAUGGGGGAAACCCUGAGGCGGCAACGCCGCGUGAACGAAGACGGCCUUCGGGUUGUAAAGUUCUUUUCUGGGGACGAUGAUGACGGUACCCCAGGUAUAAGUUCCGGCUAACUACGUGCCAGCAGCCGCGGUAAAACGUAGGGGACAAGCGUUAUCCGGAUUUACUGGGCGUAAAGCGCACGUAGGCGGUGAGGUAAGUUGGCCGUGAAAGCUCCCGGCUUAACUGGGAGAGGUCGGACAAAACUGCCCCACUUGAGGCUGAGAGAGGAGAGCGGAAUUCCCGGUGUAGUGGUGGAAUGCGUAGAUAUCGGGAGGAACACCAGUGGCGAAGGCGGCUCUCUGGCUCAGAACUGACGCUGAGGUGCGAAAGCGUGGGGAGCGAACGG